Molecule: long non-coding RNA, 319 nt
Organism: Tupaia belangeri chinensis (Chinese tree shrew)
Lineage: Eukaryota; Metazoa; Chordata; Mammalia; Scandentia; Tupaiidae
Exons: 2
Source: RefSeq, a predicted model, not a curated record
CCCGUGUACCCACGCACCUCCACGCUUCGGCAGCGCCCCUGGCACCACUACGCUUCCCAGUGUCCCUCCGCCGCCAGGCCUAGUGUGAGCGCACUGCCGGGGAUGAGAGUGGUUCGGUUCGGUUCCCAGCGAGCGCUGAGGCGCUGCAGAAACCCAGAAGGUACCGGCCCCCAGGACGACAUGACAGCGAUAAAAACGUCCUGAGACCAGUCCAGGGAAAUACUGUGGCUGCACCGAGAUUGCCAGCCGGCAGUGGAGACAGGCAAAAUAACGGCCCUGUUAGCUAAAAAAAUAAAAAUCAUUAAGACAGUCAAAGCAA